RNAcentral lists this ribosomal RNA (254 nucleotides) under uncultured bacterium. Its description in RNAcentral is "partial 16S ribosomal RNA". It matches the Rfam family "Bacterial small subunit ribosomal RNA", at positions 524 to 776 of the family's 1533-position model. The record is from RNAcentral.
CACGUAGGGUGCGAGCGUUGUCCGGAAUUAUUGGGCGUCAAGAGCUCGUAGGCGGUGUGUCGCGUCGGCCGUGAAAACCUGCAGCUUAACUGUGGGCUUGCGGUCGAUACGGGCAUCACUGGAGUUCGGCAGGGGAGACUGGAAUUCCUGGUGUAGCGGUGAAAUGCGCAGAUAUCAGGAGGAACACCGGUGGCGAAGGCGGGUCUCUGGGCCGAUACUGACGCUGAGGAGCGAAAGCGUGGGGAGCGAACAGG